GGCGCCCCCCGCCCCAGCCACUCCCCCGGAGCCAAUGAGCAGGUGCAGGUUGGGGUGGAGCUGGAGGCCAACACGCGGCUGCAGGACACCACCUUCGCCUUCGGCUACCAGCUCAACCUGCCGCAGGCCAACAUGGUCUUCAGAGGGCUCCUGGACAGUAACUGGAGCGUCGGGGGGGUGCUGGAGAAGAAGCUGCCCCCCCUGCCCGUCACCCUGGCUCUGGGUGCCUUCCUCAACCACUGGAAGAACCGUUUCCACUGCGGCUUCAGCGUCAUCGUGGGCUGAGGGGCCCGCAGGGGCGGGCGGCAUGUGCCACCGUCCUGCUCAGGGAGCCACCGUGCCGUGCCGUGCCGCGGGGAUGCCAGCCAGGCCCCGCUCU
Molecule: long non-coding RNA, 379 nt
Organism: Egretta garzetta (little egret)
Lineage: Eukaryota; Metazoa; Chordata; Aves; Pelecaniformes; Ardeidae
Exons: 3
Source: RefSeq, a predicted model, not a curated record